UGUUGGUCAAAAGUGAUAAGCAUUUUAAUUAUAAUACUAGUGCUUGUAUUUAUGAUUUUUCCGCCAUUUCAAUUACAAUCAUCCUAAAAUUGCUGUAAUUGCUCAUUGUUGCAUUUGGUGUGAAGCUCCAUGCCAUGCUUAGCUCCUCAAUUUACCGUUGGAGUGCUUGUGUCAGGAACCUGCCCGGACAGUCUUGUCUUUGUUCAAUGUUUUACUGUUUGUUUUGUGUCUAAGCACAUGGUUCUGUCUCUGUUUGUGUCUGCCACAUGCUCCUCUCAUCCCACCUCCUUGUUUCCCUUGGUCACGCCCCCUUGUUUAGCCCUUGUCUGCUUGAUUGUUUUCACCUGAUCCUCAUGUGUGCUGCUCUAUAUAUUGGGUUUCCUUUCCUUGUGUCUCUGCUGGUUCAUUUUUGAUGUUUACCUGUCUCUUGGCCCAGAAUUUUUCCCUUUGAUCUUGAGCAUUAUUUUUUGAUCUCUUAUUUAGAUAUUUAUAUCCUUUUUGGUCUUUAGUUUUGUCUAGCUUAAGAAUGGAAAGAAAAAGAAAUUUGUUGUGCAUUCUAAUCUAGUUUUUUUUCUCAUUUGAUUUUGAUUUUCUUCUACUCUUGUUUAAGUGAUUCCAGUUUUGGAUCUUGGCUUUUUGUUUUUACUCUUUGAUUAUAUCUUUGGGUAGCUUUGGUUAUUUCUUUUGCAUUGUUCUUAUUGUUUUCAAUUGUCUUACUGUUGUGGCAUUUUGAGUCUCGUCUUGUUUGUUUUUGUGUUUGUCUUGUCUUACCCUAUCUCAGAAUCCUUGGCCACUGAACCCCACUGCUUGGAAGCAGCUCACCUCUCUCACGUGUCAAGACUCUGGUCCCGUGAGCCCCUACCUGGCGGCUAGACUAGUGACAUUAGAGUGUCACUUAAAGCUACGGGUUUCCUGUGUGUCUGCCUGGUCCUUCCUCUUGAGCUGCCUCCUCUGUGCUUGAGCCUGUGGUCAUCUCGGACUGUCUCUGAGGCCAUCCCUCCUGCCUGUAUUGUUGUCUGCCCUGCCCCUCUGUUUGAACUGUUUCACUGCAAAUUCCUCCAGCUGUUCCAGUCUAUGUUUUGUUAAUAAAAUACCCUUGUCUGCUCAUUCUGCAUUUGGGUCCCAUUUCCUGCAGAUCCGUGACAGCUUGGCCCCGUAAUUGCUGCUUGCAGCUAUAUUUUAUUCUUCUAUUUUUAUUGUUUACUUUUAUUUCUUUCUUUCAUAGCUAUAUUUUUGUAAAUUUUCAUCCGUUGUUUUAUUCUUUAAUAAUUGCACUGUCCAUGGAGCGGACCUGACUCACAUUUCACUGCUGGUUAUAUAUGCUCUAUAUAAUUGUGUAUGUGAUGAAUAAAAAUCUUGAAUCUUAAAUCUAACAAAUUAAAGUGAUUAUAUAUUCCAGUACAUAGUUUGCUUAGACAUUAGCUUAAAUUCUUUUAAUAUUACGAAGACAGAUUUAAUUUUACAGAUUUUUUUUUUUUUGCUGAACUCAGUAUCAGCACUCAGACAGAUAGCAGAAGUGAAAAAAACAAAAACCUAAAAAUGACCACAUUUUUUCCACUUAGUUUCUCAUAUUCAAUUAUGCUCACGUUGCAAGUUAAUUUCAAAUUAACAUUUUACAUUGUUAUUAGUGUCUUGCAUUAUGUAUUUAUGUCUGCAUUUACUUUUAGUUAGUUGUAUUUUUUUCUUAUUUCCUUUUCAUGUGUUUUACUCUGUGAUAACAAUGGCCUUAUUCUUUCUUGUCAAAUCUACAGUUACUGCUGGGAAUGUAGUUCCAGUCAUGUUGGCACUUGUUACAGUGUUAUGCUGGUCUUUGAUUUGCUGGCUAAUGUGCUGAAGAAUCAUCUGCCACAACUGCACGGUUUUCAGUAUUUUAUUCAACUUCUGUACUUAAGUUUUAGUGGUCAAAGUGGUCUCAUUUAACUGCAUUGAUGUGUCUUCAUGACACAAAGUAGGUACAUCUGUUGCUAAUUUGACAUCAAAUAAUUUACAUGCCAGGAGGAGGCAAGCA
Long non-coding RNA from Cyprinus carpio carpio, 2008 nucleotides. NCBI's taxonomy places the organism in Eukaryota, Metazoa, Chordata, Actinopteri, Cypriniformes, Cyprinidae. The record is from Ensembl.